RNAcentral lists this long non-coding RNA (4985 nucleotides) under Sus scrofa (pig). RNAcentral describes it as "lncRNA (ENSSSCG00050011319.1)". Lineage: Eukaryota; Metazoa; Chordata; Mammalia; Artiodactyla; Suidae. The record is from RNAcentral.
AUUUUUGAAAAAACAAUUUAAUCUCCCCAAGCAAAACACUAACCCCAGCUUUGACAAAUGUUUUAUCGUAGAUAUAUCCUAGUUCAUUCUCCAUUACUUACCCUUGCUACAGUCAUUAAAUGUCUGGCUAUAUAGGAUUAUUAAAUUUUAUCAAGGUCUUCAACUCCUGUUAAGAAAAUAUUGAUUGGUUGGAAGUUCCCAUGUAGUGCAGCGGGUUAAAGAUCUAGUGUUGCCAUAGCAGUGACACAGGUUGCAACUGUGGUGCAGUUUCAGUCCCUGGCGCGGGAACUUCCACAUGCCAGUCAGCAAAUGUCUGGGCCGCAAAGGGCCGCAAAAGCAUUCUGAACACAGUGUGCCUGAACACAGAAUGCCUGGCCUGCGUGGGCUGCCCCCAUGGGCCUGAGCACCCUGCUGUCUGCACCCAUUCCUCUCAGUAGAGAUGUUUGGGCAUUGCUGCCUCCCCACACACUUGAGAAAGAUGUCUAAUGCUAAGGGGCAGAGUCUAACAGAGGACAUUAAUGGUCGUUAACCUUGUUGUGUACAGCGUGCCUUGGAUCUUAUUUUCUUGGCUAGGGUAUGGAUAAAAGGAUAGUUCCGCUGGCGAGUAAGAAGAAUGAAUGGUUUCGCAUUCUCUCCAUGUCCUAGCCCACUCCAUUACGGUCACAGUGGCAAUAUGGAGCAUUAAGCCUCUAAAAGUGCAGAAAUUACUCUGCUUUACUAGUACAGUGCUGCGUAAAUAUUGGUAACCAUAACAAUAAAUGCUUGGCCAAACCCAGUUCUAGAACAUCAUUUAGCAUCAUUCUUAAAGGAGUGCCCCAGUGGUUUAGCAGUUGUUGAAAUGCAUUUCUGUGUAACAAAUGAAAGACAAAACAAGAUCAAAAUAAAACAUAAAACCUACUCUUUUAGCCUAGACAAAGUGACUAUGAUUUUAUUGUUUUAUUAUUUUUUUAAAGCGACUAUAAUUUUAGAACUGCAGAUUGCUGUACAGGGUUUGAGUGCCUGAAUUGAGUAUAUUUAUAGAAUUGGCUCAUUGGACAAAAUAUUUAAAAAUGAAAUUAUCUGGAAAGUUCCAGGGAUGUGAUUGAUGUAUAUGUAGUUGAAAACUUCUAUUUUCUAUGUAUUGUAGUGUUUAAUUAAACAGAAUGAUGUGAUUUUGAUCUGGCAUUUGAUACUGUAAAUGUAAGUUUGAGGGAGUUCCCCUUGUGGCUCAGUGGUACCGAACCCAACUAGUACAUCCAUGAGGACUCGGGUUCGAUCCUUGGCCUCACUCAGGGAAUUAAAGGAUCUGGCGUUGCCGUGAACUGUGGUGUAGGUUGCAGAUUUGGCUCAGAUCCAGCGUUGCUGUGGCUGCAACAUAGUCCAGCGGCUACAUGUCAGACUCAACCCCUAGCCUGGGAGCUUCCAUAUGCUGCAGAUGCAGCCCUAAAAAGAUUUAGGAAAAAAAAAAGUAAAUUUCGAAUUUGUUGGUUUAUUUUUGGUGUUCUUUUAAUCAUGAAAAUUAAUGCUUAAAGCACCUAUCAACUUAAAACAAUUUUUUUUUUCAAACAGGCAAUUGACUAGACUGGACAAUUGUAUGCUAAAGUAAUUAAUAUCUUUGAUCAUCUCUUUAUGGGUUUUACCAGUCAUUCAGCUUGGAGCCAAAUAUAUUUCAUUAUGGUUUUUGUAUGUGAAUUGACAUAAAAUAUCACCUUUAAUGUUUUACUAGCUUCACCACGUUAGGCUGAAGGUUUUUUGUUUUUUUUUUUUACUAUAUCAAAAACUUUUGUGAUUUAUUUAAAUCCGUAUCUGCUUGCUUUUGAAUUAUUGCUAAGGCUAGUGGGAAGUAUUUUAAAUGUAAAAGUGUGGGGUUUUUUUCCCACAGUGUUCUUUUGAGUCGUUGAUAGAUGUGAAAAACAUUUAGCAGGUUUCCUUCCUUUCCACCCUUUAUUAAGCUGUGCUUCGGAAGAAAUAUUCCUAGCAGACAUGCUGCAAUAUGUCAGAAACACUGCCGUAUUACAGAUGCAACAUCAUCUAAAAGGAAAAAUUGAGUGUGGGUUUGAAGUUGACAAGUGAUGAAAGUAGCCCUGAAGUUGUCAAUUAGGACGUGAAUGCCUGGAACCAAUAACUUAAUGGGCGGUGCCCCCUGCUAUUUUGUCUUCGGGACUGUAGGAUCGCUCCUGCUCUGGGGUAGGCAUGCCUGCAGCCAGACCUGGGCAUGUAGACAUAAACACACAUGUACGUGUAGGAGUAUGUGGUGGGUGAUGCAGAUCCAGACUACUCCUGCUAAUCUGUUUCCUAAAAAUGUUCCUUUUAUGGGAGACCUAACAAAAAGAAUAAGUGGCUAGUUUUAUUCGUAUCACAUUUAUCAUCUUUCUAACAGGAUUUUCAUGGAUUGGCUUUAUAAGCCAUAUUGCCAAACAACAAAUACGUAAUUUUUUUCCAUGGAGUUUUUUGGGAAAAUUCUUGCCUUCCAUCCUGCUGGGAGUUUUUUCUCAGAUCACCAGUGUAAGCCAGUCACCAUACAUUGUUUUCAGUUGAUACAACCCCAGUUGACAUGAUAUACUUUUUUGCUGAUUUUAAAAUAUGAGUAAUCAGCCGUUUAUAACCUAUAGGUUAAAAGGAGCUGUUAAUGGAUAAAGGUGGGAACCCAAAUGAACUAAAGCUCUUUAGAUUGUGGUAUUGACACUCUGUGCAUCUUUCCAUUAUUUAUUAUAACUGCUCCAGGAGUUCCCGUCGUGGCGCAGUGGUUAACGAAUCCGACUAGAAACCAUGAGGUUGCGGGUUCGGUCCCUGCCCUUGCUCAGUGGGUUAACGAUCCGGCAUUGCCGUGAGCUGUGGUGUAGGUUGCAGACGCGGCUCGGAUCCCACGUUGCUAUGGCUCUGGCGUAGGCCGGAGACUACAGCUCCGAUUGGACCCCUAGCCUGGGAACCUCCAUAUGCCACGGGAGCAGCCCAAGAAAUAGCAAAAAAACAAAAAAAAAAACAAAAACAAAAACAAAAAAACAAAACUGCUCCAAAUCACUUCAUUUAUUUACAAAGUCCUACAGCAGAAGAGAACACAGAAGUAAAAAGUACAAGGUGAAUUCAGUGGAGUCAGGUGUUUCUGGGACUGGUGCACUUCCUUUUUUGAAUUAAUUAAGUCAAAUUAAACCUUUUAAAAUUAAAUUUCUUAGUAAUGCUCUCCAAUCUUUUGAAUGGAAUUUUGAAAUAAAAUGUGAGAGAAUGCAGCAAAUGCAUACCUGUGAUGAUGAGAACCCAUAGGACUUGUCUCAAGGAGGACCGCCUCCCAAGGAACACCUAUAAGGGUCCCAGGUUCUCAGACACAGUGCAAGAUGGUCCUGAGAGAUUGUUAAGAAUCCUCAGGUUUGGCUGGAAAACCUACACUUGUUGGGAAGGGGUGGGGGCCUCAGCCCUGGACACUAACCCUUCAGGACCAGAGCUCUGGCUAAGGUGCACCUCCUGUGAAGAUAGCCGUGGUCACUGGGACUAUACAGUCACUGUCAGCCUGACCAGCGUGGGACAGCUGGCAGUGAUCAUUGGGAAGUGGCUUGAAUUCACCGACGGGGUGAAAACCAGGGGACUGGCUCCUUUCGAAUCUGCUAAGAGCAGGUGCUCUCUGGGCAUGGCCUUCUUGAGGCUCAGGGCGUUCCUCUCAGGUACUUAUUUGGUCCUGGCAUCACCAGUCCUUCCUUCACCCAGAAUCUUUUGGCUUUUCUCUGGAGAGAAAAUGCAGCAGGGCUCUAUCCCAGGGCUCGAGGGCCUGGAGCACUGUGCUGCUCUCCACUUCCUGAGGCAGCUCCUGGUGGAUGAUAAAGACUAGUUCCCUUUACCAGCCACAGUUUGUGCCUUGCUCUGGUGGCAAAAAGCCCAAGUGUUGAUUAAGUGGUAUCCAAGUAUUCUGCAUAACCAGGGGUUUUUGGUUUGGUUUUGUUUUUUAAGCUUAUCUAUCUGCAGGGUUUACCUCUGCAGUAUUUGCAGUCUCUGUCUUUGUUACCCGGUAUCCAUAGUUAUCUGUAUCCUCAGGUUUUCUGCUAACACCCACGGCUUCAACAGGGGAGAAAAGGAGGUGAGAGUUGCUUGAACAGGUGGGAGCCUGAACCAAGGCACACAUGCAUUUCUGAUGCAUUUUCAGGAAGUUGUCUGAUUUUCAUCUUUUUGCUCAUAAUCACAUCAAGAUUUAGCCAUGCAGUAAAAGUUGUGGGAAGGCACAUCAGCAGCCACCACUUGUUACACUUUUGCUCCUCAGUUUGGGUCCCUGAGGUCAGGGAUGCGUUGUUUUAGACCAAGGUCCCAACCAUAGUGACCCAGUAUAUUUAAUGGAUCAUGAUGAGCGUUUGAAAAAAAUGAACUAGAAUAGGGAGUUCCCGUCGUGGCGCAGUGGUUAACGAAUCCGACUAGGAACCAUGAGGUUGCUGGUUCGGUCCCUGCCCUUGCUCAGUGGGUUGAAGAUCCGGCGUUGCCGUGAGCUGUGGUGUAGGUUGCAGAUGUGGCUUGGAUCCCGCGUUGCUGUGGCUCUGGCGUAGGCCGGAGGCUACAGCUCCGAUUCAACCCCUAGCCUGGGAACCUCCAUAUGCCUCGAGAGCGGCCCAAGAAAAUGGCAAAAAGACAAAAAAAAAAAAAAAAAGAACUAGAAUAAAAUAGAAACUGUUCUAGUCAGAGCACAUCACAGAUUUUCAUUUGAUGAAACUUUUUUUUUUUUAUGGGGGAUGUGUGUGUGCUUAUGGGCUCCCUGUAUAAAAUAUUUUUUCCUAUGGGUUGCAGUAAAAUUUUUUUGAAAAAUGCUGCCUUGGGAGUUCCCAUCGUGGCGCAGUGGUUAACGAAUCCGACUAGGAACCAUGAGGUUGCUGGUUCGGUCCCUGCCCUUGCUCAGUGGGUUAACGAUCCGGCGUUGCCGUGAGCUGUGGUAUGGGUUGCAGACGCGGCUUGGAUCUGGCAUUGCUGUGGCUUGGUGUAGGCCAGAGGCUACAGCUCCAAAUUGACCCCUAGCCUGGGAACCUCCAUAUGCC